AGGACGAACGCUGGCGGCGUGCUUAACACAUGCAAGUCGAGCGAACCUUCGGGUUAGCGGCGAACGGGUGAGUAACACGUGGGCAACCUGCCCCGAGCUCUGGGAUAACCCCGGGAAACCGGGGCUAAUACCGGAUACGACACCGAGAGACAUCUGUCGGUGUGGAAAGUUUUUCGGCUCGGGAUGGGCCCGCGGCCUAUCAGCUUGUUGGUGGGGUAACGGCCUACCAAGGCGACGACGGGUAGCC
RNAcentral lists this ribosomal RNA (247 nucleotides) under uncultured bacterium. RNAcentral's name for it is "partial small subunit ribosomal RNA". It matches the Rfam family "Bacterial small subunit ribosomal RNA", at positions 26 to 288 of the family's 1533-position model. The record is from RNAcentral.